CCGAGUUGCCCAGAAAGGAGGAUGUUUUCCCAGCAUCCUUUGCAAACCUGGCCUGACCCAUUUAUCUCACCCUCAGCCCCCAUUUCCCCCACCCCCAGGGGAGGGGGUCUGUGCCUAGACAGCACUGCACGGCAAUCUCAACAGGGCCCAGCAAUCAAUGAGCGUUCCUGGCAGCAACAGUCAAGAGCGGGAGAUGAAUCCGCAAUUGAUUUCCCACGUCAGUGAGUCAGAUCUACUCAUAGCCGUCAACAGACCAAUCCUCCUCUGCAGUUCUAGUGGCAGCGAGUUCUGUAAGUUAAUGAUGCAUUGUGCAAAGAAAGCAGCCUUUCCAAGGAAUCUGUUUGGGACAUCCAACGAAAGGAAAGACUGCUGCAACUAGCAUCCUGGGAGAGGCAGAGAUUCAACUGGUAGAGUUGCCAACUCUGACUGAAGCUUUUCCUGAAGAUUGUGUCCCCAAAAUUUGCUUCCAGUAUCUUUCAGAGGUGCCUGGGACAGGCAGAAAUUUAACAGGUAGCACUGCCAACUCUGACUGGAGCUAAAGUUCCUGGAUUCCUUUCAAUAG
Molecule: long non-coding RNA, 562 nt
Organism: Hemicordylus capensis (graceful crag lizard)
Lineage: Eukaryota; Metazoa; Chordata; Lepidosauria; Squamata; Cordylidae
Exons: 3
Source: RefSeq, a predicted model, not a curated record